AGAUACAUACAUUCCGGAAUACAUCGUACUCAACAGAAAUACUCCACUAUUAUAAUGAAUAAUAAUGAUGUUGCAAACUUGAUGUUCAAGUGAAGGGCCGAUACAUACAUUCUGGAAUACAUCGUACCCAACGGGGAAUUUUUCUAUGCCACAACCAUUUGAGAUAGGCUCCGCCGGCCGGAGGUGCCGCUGCUUCCGCCGCGGGAGGGGCCGGUUCUGUGGGCGUGCCGGCGUCUCCGCUGCCGGGAGCCACGUCGGUGGAAGCCCCGCGGCGGGCUCGGGUUUGGCCGAGCGUCGGGUGCAGGCUCCUCCACGCGCUGGAUGGCGCGAUAGCGCCGCACGCCGAGGCAGGGAGCCACCGCGUCGUCGGUCAAGAGCCGCGGGAGCAAACAGCGCCGAGGGCGAUGUUGCAGGCUCCACCGCGAGCCGUGAUGGGAGAGCGCCGCUGCGCAGCACACCGGACAAAGCGGGGGAGCGUCGCAGGUCUCCGUCGUUGUGGACAGAGAGUGUUUCGAGGCAGCCGCCUGCACGUGCAGGCCGGGGGCGUCGUGCCGUGUCGACGGCGUUGAGGCCCGCGCAGUGUUGUGCGCCAGGGCUACGCCGACUGCCGCAGGUGCUCAGACUUGAGCACGGGGCCUCCUCCGCCGCGUGAUGCGGCUGCGCUGCGGAGAGCCAGGCCGAGGGCCGCUCGGAGGAGCGGCGUGUCAUGGCUGUGGUCUCCACCGCGCCGGGGCGGGUUGGUGCUACUGCAGGCCUCUUCCACGAGGAUCUUGCUGCUGCAGUGACGUCGAGGCGACGAGCAGCACCGGCCGGUAGUACCAGCACAAGGGAAAUUAGAAAAUGACAUGCAAUCCUUUCAAUUCAUCAUGCCCACAUGCUCGAAUGAAGCAAUUCUCAACACGGCAGUGGCCGGUUGACUCGUCACAGGUCACAGCGAUUUGUGCUAAUUAGCCAGACUCUGAACAACGCCACCGGGGCAAGCCAUGGACGCUCGCCGUUGUUGUUCGGAGGCCGUGGUCGGGGAGGCACCGGGUUCCGCUGGCGGCGUUUCAGGCGUACAUAACCGCUGCCUGGGAUGGCCUAUUUCUCUCGUCGGAGAGCAAAGGGCUGAUAACGUGUUUGAGAUUGAACGAGAGAUGAAUGAAUAGUAAAGCAAAACUGUUGAUCUCUUUCAUUAAUGAUUAGGCUUAUAUACAAUCUGAGAAGACGCAACAGAGGGACGCGUCCAUUCCCGAACA
Aegilops tauschii subsp. strangulata is the source of this 1238-nucleotide long non-coding RNA. RefSeq lists it as uncharacterized. The record is from RefSeq and is a predicted model, not a curated record. NCBI's taxonomy places the organism in Eukaryota, Viridiplantae, Streptophyta, Magnoliopsida, Poales, Poaceae.